Molecule: ribosomal RNA, 2883 nt
Filed under: Xanthomonas campestris
Lineage: Bacteria; Pseudomonadati; Pseudomonadota; Gammaproteobacteria; Lysobacterales; Lysobacteraceae
Description: 23S ribosomal RNA
Rfam family: Bacterial large subunit ribosomal RNA
Source: RNAcentral
GGUCAAGCGAAUAAGCGCACACGGUGGAUGCCUAGGCGGUCAGAGGCGAUGAAGGACGUGGUAGCCUGCGAAAAGUGUCGGGGAGCUGGCAACAAGCUUUGAUCCGGCAAUAUCCGAAUGGGGAAACCCACUGCUUCGGCAGUAUCUUGCAGUGAAUUCAUAGCUGCUUGAAGCGAACCCGGUGAACUGAAAUAUCUAAGUAACCGGAGGAAAAGAAAUCAACCGAGAUUCCCUGAGUAGUGACGAGCGAACGGGGAACAGCCCUUAAGCUGGAAUGGCUUUAGAAAAACAAUCUGGAAAGAUUGGCCAUAGAAGGUGAUAGCCCUGUAUUUAAAAGGGCCACUCCAGUGAAGACGAGUAGGGCGGGGCACGUGAAACCCUGUCUGAAUAUGGGGGGACCAUCCUCCAAGGCUAAAUACUCCUGGCCGACCGAUAGUGAACCAGUACCGUGAGGGAAAGGCGAAAAGAACCCCGGAGAGGGGAGUGAAAUAGAUCCUGAAACCGUGUGCGUACAAGCAGUAGGAGCUCGCAAGAGUGACUGCGUACCUUUUGUAUAAUGGGUCAGCGACUUACUGUUCGUGGCAAGCUUAACCGUAUAGGGGAGGCGAAGGGAAACCGAGUCUGAUAAGGGCGCAUAGUCGCGGGCAGUAGACCCGAAACCGGGUGAUCUAGUCAUGGCCAGGGUGAAGGUGCCGUAACAGGUACUGGAGGCCCGAACCCACGUCUGUUGCAAAAGACGGGGAUGAGCUGUGAUUAGGAGUGAAAAGCUAAUCGAACCCGGAGAUAGCUGGUUCUCCUCGAAAGCUAUUUAGGUAGCGCCUCGGACGAAUACUACUGGGGGUAGAGCACUGUUAUGGCUAGGGGGUCAUCGCGACUUACCAAACCAUUGCAAACUCCGAAUACCAGUACGUACUAUCCGGGAGACACACGGCGGGUGCUAACGUCCGUCGUGAAAAGGGAAACAACCCAGACCCACAGCUAAGGUCCCAAAUUCACUGCUAAGUGGAAAACGAUGUGGAAAGGCAUAGACAGCCAGGAGGUUGGCUUAGAAGCAGCCACCCUUUAAAGAAAGCGUAAUAGCUCACUGGUCGAGUCGGUCUGCGCGGAAGAUUUAACGGGGCUAAGCAGUGAACCGAAGCUUGGGGUGCGUAAAACUUCGGUUUUAUGCGCGGUAGAGGAGCGUUCCGUAAGCCUGCGAAGGUGGAUUGAGAAGUCUGCUGGAGGUAUCGGAAGUGCGAAUGCUGACAUGAGUAACGAUAAUGCGGGUGAAAAGCCCGCACGCCGAAAGCCCAAGGUUUCCUUGCGCAACGUUAAUCGACGCAGGGUUAGUCGGUCCCUAAGGCGAGGGCGAAAGCCGUAGUCGAUGGGAAGCAGGUUAAUAUUCCUGCACCUCGCGUGAGUGCGAUGGAGGGACGGAGAAGGUUAGGUGUACCGGGCGUUGGUUGUCCCGGGGAAAGGCGGUAGGUUUGGAUCUUUGGCAAAUCCGGGAUCCUUUAAGACCGAGCACCGAGACGAGCCUUUAUGGCGAAGUCACUGAUACCACGCUUCCAGGAAAAGCUCCUAAGCUUCAGCUCACGAAGACCGUACCGUAAACCGACACAGGUGGGUAGGAUGAGAAUUCUCAGGCGCUUGAGAGAACUCGGGUGAAGGAACUAGGCAACAUGGCACCGUAACUUCGGGAGAAGGUGCACCCUUUUUGGUGGCUCAUGCGAGCUAUAGCUGAAGAGGGUCGCAGAAACCAGGCCGCUGCGACUGUUUAUCAAAAACACAGCACUCUGCAAACACGAAAGUGGACGUAUAGGGUGUGACGCCUGCCCGGUGCUGGAAGGUUAAUUGAUGGGGUCAGCCGCAAGGCGAAGCUCUUGAUCGAAGCCCCAGUAAACGGCGGCCGUAACUAUAACGGUCCUAAGGUAGCGAAAUUCCUUGUCGGGUAAGUUCCGACCUGCACGAAUGGCGUAACGACAGCGGCGCUGUCUCCACCCGAGACUCAGUGAAAUUGAAAUCGCUGUGAAGAUGCAGCGUUCCCGUGGCAAGACGGAAAGACCCCGUGAACCUUUACUAUAGCUUUACACUGAACGUUGAGUUCGUCUGUGUAGGAUAGGUGGGAGGCUAUGAAACUGUGGCGCUAGCUGCAGUGGAGCCAACCUUGAAAUACCACCCUGUCGUGCUUGACGUUCUAACCUAGAUCCGUUAUCCGGAUCAGGGACCGUGUAUGGUGGGUAGUUUGACUGGGGCGGUCUCCUCCUAAAGAGUAACGGAGGAGCACGAAGGUACGCUCAGCGCGGUCGGACAUCGCGCACUGUGUGCAAAGGCAUAAGCGUGCUUGACUGCAAGAUCGACGGAUCAAGCAGGUACGAAAGUAGGUCUUAGUGAUCCGGUGGUUCUGUAUGGAAGGGCCAUCGCUCAACGGAUAAAAGGUACUCCGGGGAUAACAGGCUGAUACCGCCCAAGAGUUCAUAUCGACGGCGGUGUUUGGCACCUCGAUGUCGGCUCAUCACAUCCUGGGGCUGUAGUCGGUCCCAAGGGUAUGGCUGUUCGCCAUUUAAAGUGGUACGCGAGCUGGGUUCAGAACGUCGUGAGACAGUUCGGUCCCUAUCUGCCAUGGGCGUUGGAAGUUUGAGAGGGGCUGCUCCUAGUACGAGAGGACCGGAGUGGACGAACCUCUGGUGUUCCGGUUGUCACGCCAGUGGCAUUGCCGGGUAGCUAUGUUCGGAAGCGAUAACCGCUGAAAGCAUCUAAGCGGGAAGCGCGCCUCAAGAUGAGACUUCCCGGGGCACAAGCCCCCUAAAGGAACCAUAUAGACUAUGUGGUUGAUAGGUCAGGUGUGUAAGUACAGCAAUGUAUUGAGCUAACUGAUACUAAUGAUCCGUGCGGCUUGACCAU